AGCUCCAAUAGCGUAUAUUAAAGUUGUUGCGGUUAAAAAGCUCGUAGUUGGAUUUCUGUUGAGGUCGGGCGGUGUGCACCUCGUGCAUUAUUUGCUUCGGUCUCGGCAUCCUCCUGGGGAACGUUUAGGACUUUAUUGGACUAGGCGAGAUUCAGGACUUUUACUUUGAGGAAAUUAGAGUGUUCACGGCAAGCAAGCGCGGGAAUACAUUAGCAUGGAAUAAUAAUAUAGGACCUUCGUUCUAUUUUGUUGGUUUCUAGAACUUAGGUAAUGAUUAAUAGGGACAAUUGGGGGCAUUCGUAUUAACGCGUCAGAGGUGGAAUUCUUGGAUUGCGUUACGACGAACUACUGCGAAAGCAUUUGCCAAAGAUGUUU
This 375-nucleotide ribosomal RNA is filed under the name uncultured eukaryote. RNAcentral describes it as "SSU rRNA". It matches the Rfam family "Eukaryotic small subunit ribosomal RNA", at positions 587 to 969 of the family's 1831-position model. The record is from RNAcentral.